RNAcentral lists this ribosomal RNA (270 nucleotides) under uncultured archaeon. RNAcentral describes it as "partial 16S ribosomal RNA". It matches the Rfam family "Archaeal small subunit ribosomal RNA", at positions 477 to 747 of the family's 1478-position model. The record is from RNAcentral.
CAGCACCUCAAGUGGUCAGGAUGAUUAUUGGGCCUAAAGCAUCCGUAGCCGGCGCUGUAAGUUUUCGGUUAAAUCUGUACGCUCAACGUACAGGCUGCCGGGAAUACUGCAGCGCUAGGGAGUGGGAGAGGUAGACGGUACUCGGUAGGAAGGGGUAAAAUCCUUUGAUCAAUUGAUGACCACCUGUGGCGAAGGCGGUCUACCAGAACACGUCCGACGGUGAGGGAUGAAAGCUGGGGGAGCAAACCGGAUUAGAUACCCGUGUAGUCC